GACGAACGCUCGUUGCGUGCUUAACACAUGCAAGUCGAACGGAAAGGCCCUGCUUUUGUGGGGUGCUCGAGUGGCGAACGGGUGAGUAACACGUGAGUAACCUGCCCUUGACUUUGGGAUAACUUCAGGAAACUGGGGCUAAUACCGGAUAGGAGCUCCUGCUGCAUGGUGGGGGUUGGAAAGUUUCGGCGGUUGGGGAUGGACUCGCGGCUUAUCAGCUUGUUGGUGGGGUAGUGGCUUACCAAGGCUUUGACGGGUAGCCGGCCUGAGAGGGUGACCGGCCACGUUGGGACUGAGAUACGGCCCAGACUCCUACGGGAGGCAGCAGUGGGGAAUAUUGCACAAUGGGCGGAAGCCUGAUGCAGCAACGCCGCGUGCGGGAUGACGGCCUUCGGGUUGUAAACCGCUUUCGCCUGUGACGAAGCGUGAGUGACGGUAAUGGGUAAAGAAGCACCGGCUAACUACGUGCCAGCAGCCGCGGUGAUACGUAGGGUGCGAGCGUUGUCCGGAUUUAUUGGGCGUAAAGGGCUCGUAGGUGGUUGAUCGCGUCGGAAGUGUAAUCUUGGGGCUUAACCCUGAGCGUGCUUUCGAUACGGGUUGACUUGAGGAAGGUAGGGGAGAAUGGAAUUCCUGGUGGAGCGGUGGAAUGCGCAGAUAUCAGGAGGAACACCAGUAGCGAAGGCGGUUUUCUGGGCCUUUCCUGACGCUGAGGAGCGAAAGCGUGGGGAGCGAACAGGCUUAGAUACCCUGGUAGUCCACGCUGUAAACGGUGGGUACUAGGUGUGGGGUCCAUUCCACGGGUUCCGUGCCGUAGCUAACGCUUUAAGUACCCCGCCUGGGGAGUACGGCCGCAAGGCUAAAACUCAAAGGAAUUGACGGGGCCCCGCACAAGCGGCGGAGCAUGCGGAUUAAUUCGAUGCAACGCGUAGAACCUUACCUGGGUUUGACAUGGAUCGGGAGUGCUCAGAGAUGGGUGUGCCUCUUUUGGGGUCGGUUCACAGGUGGUGCAUGCCUGUCGUCAGCUCGUGUCGUGAGAUGUUGGGUUAAGUCCCGCAACGAGCGCAACCCUUGUUCACUGUUGCCAGCACGUUAUGGUGGGGACUCAGUGGAGACCGCCGGGGUCAACUCGGAGGAAGGUGGGGAUGACGUCAAGUCCUCAUGCCCCUUAUGUCCAGGGCUUCACGCAUGCUACAAUGGCUGGUACAGAGAGUGGCGAGCCUGUGAGGGUGAGCGAAUCUCGGAAAGCCGGUCUCAGUUCGGAUUGGGGUCUGCAACUCGACCUCAUGAAGUCGGAGUCGCUAGUAAUCGCAGAUCAGCAACGCUGCGGUGAAUACGUUCCCGGGGCU
This 1346-nucleotide ribosomal RNA is filed under the name uncultured bacterium. Its description in RNAcentral is "bacterial SSU rRNA". It matches the Rfam family "Bacterial small subunit ribosomal RNA", at positions 28 to 1381 of the family's 1533-position model. The record is from RNAcentral.